CGCCGCCGGGCACCACGGGGCUCGUAGUCCGGGCUGGGGCCCCGCCAGGGGAACGCGGAGGAAGGAGGAGGAGGGCAGCAGAGGUGAACACCGAUGAGCACACAGAGUUCCAGAUGCUGAUCCUCAGAGAAUCCACAUGUGACAGAAAGGAUGGAUAAUCUUUUGGCUCAGCUCCAGCCUGGUGGAGCCUGCAUGUGGUUGUUUCAGGCUAAUGUACAAAAAGGACCAGAAAGAUUGUUAUUGAGCCUUCCACAAAGCUGAAAUAAUGCUGUGUGUUAAAAAAAUCUUAACAAUUUGAAGAAGUUAUAAAAAUUUAUAAGUUGACUGAAUACUUUGGAAAUUUCUGCAUAUUUUAAUAUAAAUAGGUGCUGGCAGCAUGUGGAGCUGAGAGCAGUGUAAGCCCAAAGGACUAGGACACCAGAGGAGGUCACCAGGAGCUGUCGUGCCUGAUAAGCCCUCCGGAAAAGAGAAAGGGAGAAUGAUUGAUUGCUUGAUUGAUUGAUGCAAGCCUCUGUAGUGUUUAGCCUCUGGACCAGCUCUCUUGUUCUGCAGCACAGAUUCAUCCCCUUUCGCUGCAGCUCCUGGUCACCCCAUCCAGCACGAAUGAAAAGGUUGCACAGCAUUCAGCCUCACUGCAGCUCCCAGGGAAAGAGCCCAGGCCUUGUGUGGUUCAAGCUGCUCACCCCAACCUGCUGAAGACCAAAUUCCCAUCCUGAGGACCCUGAUGAAGCUGUGACCAUACCAGCUGCUUCCUCUUGGCUCCUGGGAAAGGCCUCUGGCUGCCUGUUUUGCUGUGUGUAAAAGCAUCUUUCAGCCAAGAAAGUAUUCCUUUAGCAAGGAAGAUAUGACAGGUUGUGAUAUUGGACUGCAGUGAAGUUCCACCUGUGCUAUUCUACCCUUCACGAGUGAGCAGUGCUGGGCCAUGCAGCUGGCAAGCUCAUGCCCUUUUGGGGAGGUGUGAAGAACACUUGUCCAUUCAUAACUGAAACUAUUCAAGAUGCACAGGCCUGAAAGGCCACUAUAAGUUUCUUUGCACUCUGGUGUGGUAAAAGUCUUGUCUCCUAGCAAACAUUAUGGAUGAAAGCUUUUGUCACAAGGAGAGAUGGUAAAUUUGUAUACUCAACUUCUAUUUGGAAGAAUAUUUUGAUGUGAAACCUUUGUUAUUCCAGAGGCUUGAGCCAACUGCUUUUGAUCUGGGAGCUUACAGAAUGGGAGUAGGUUGAAUCAAGCCUCUGUCAAGAACCACUGCUGAAAUACUGAAUUAACAUACCCAAGACCAGCACAUCAGGAGUAUAGUCUCCUACCAAGAAUAGUGUGGAGAUAAACCUUGCUCACAGAAGCUCUGGAAGCACUGUGAGACUCGGAUCGACACGGUGCAUCCUCAGAAGGCAGGGAUGUUUCUGCUGUCUGAGCACUGCACACUCUAUGUUCAUAACUGAUGGAAAUAAUGCCCGGUUUUGGGGGAGCUUGGUGGUAUGAGAGACAGUCACAGCAGCUCUAAUAGGGUGGCUUAUCGCUUUCUUGUGGAGCCAGGUACAGCUUCUGUCCUCUUUCGCACCCACAAAUCUGGUAUAAUGUUAAUUAGAUUGUCAUUAGGUUUCAUUAGUGAAGCUCCAUGAAACAAACAAAGGAAACAUUCUAUAGUCAUGCUGAAACUUGGUAUGUCAUUUAUACAAAGUGGGUGAGCAGAGAUCAGCAGCUAUGAAACACUGCUUUUCUAGAAAUAUGAAAUAUUUAGGUAAAAUAUCUAGGUAAAAUCUAACAAAAAUUUGAUUACUGCAUGAUAAAAUGGUGCCUCUUCCCUUCUAAAUAGGUUUGAUCAUCUCCUUAAUGCAAGCCCUGCACCUUCACCUAGAUUCCUUCCCAGGCAGCUAUAGUGGAUCUGCUCACCAAGAGAAUUUGUCCCACUGGAUUCCUUUUUUUUUCUGUGCAGUUGAAUGAAAAGCGUGUCUCUUUUGAAGAACAGCAACUGAAAGAAAUAUUGAUGACUGCCAGGGCAUCUACAGAAAAGGAUAAGAAAAUUACUCUACUACAACAGUGAAGACAAAGGGGCUUUGUUAACUCUUUCUAAAAAAAGAGAACAACACUCCUACUUGUUACUUCUGUGAUGAAAAUGGCAGGACAGCUAUAGAUCUGCAGCAAACUCCAAGCUGUGUGGCAGCUACAGGCUUUGCACAGAUUCCAGAAGACUGUAUUGAAUGUUGAGAAAUGGAACAUGACUGAAGCAGAGAUUUACGCUAUGGCCGCUUUCAGAAGGUCCAUGAGCUUUCAGCAAUGCCCUACACAAACACAACACAAAUGCUAACGUGUUUCUUGAGAUAAUGCUUCACCAGUGUAAUGUUAAUUUCUGAACUUGUAUCAUUACUGAAAACACUUGGAAAAAAAAUCUUUUUCUGUAAGUUUUCUGCUGAUGAUUUUAGCUGAAUCUGCUUUACCAUACAAACACGUUCUUAUUACACACUCUGUGGAAGUAAAGCACUCCGUAAUAACAAAAAAAUAGCAGGACACAAGGGGAUAUCAUACUGUCCUUUCCUUCUUCCUUUCAUUUGAUCUUUCUGCCAUCUUGGUAGGAGGUCUCCUUUUUAUGUGUAUUUCUUAGUACUUAGGAACUGAACGUAACUUCUGUCUGUUUAUGGGUUUUGCAGCUUUUGGAAGAUGACACUUUCCGGCUGCACUGAAUCCUUUGCUAUUCUGUGUGAAUGGUGUACAGAGUGUUGGAGUGUAUAUAUUAUUUUUCACCAGAAAUAAGUUCUAUUUCAUGAAAGUGGAGAAUUACAGAGAAAAUUUGCUGACUACUAGUGCAACUUAGGCAGAUGUGUAACAGGACAGUACCAUGAUUAUGUGCUUUGAAAUAUUUAAUUUUCUCUCUAUAACCCUCUUCUUAACUCUGCUAAAAUUCAGCCUGUCAGUGUUGGUACUCUGUCUUGUUGUUAGCCCUUCCAAGUGUGUUUGGUAAACUGCUGAGCUGAAUUCAUUUAGGAGGGUGGACACAAUGCUGGUGUCAUUGCAGUCUGUGAUAGAAUGAAAAUUGCUUUUGGAGCAGAAUGCUCAGUGUUUCUAUGGAGGCCCCUGUGGAAUCAGGAGUGGGCAGAUGCUCUAGUGGGCAUGUACCCUACAUCAUGCUUUAGGGAUGCUCACAUAGAUGAGGCUGCCAUAGUGUGAGGGUUACUGCUACAGGCAGCAGUCCCCUCCAGUGCUGUGAGCCCUGCUUUGUUUGGAAAGAGGUAGAAGAGAGGAGAUGGAGAUGCAGAAUCUGCCAUUCACUCCCAGGCUUUCCUGUCUUCAAGGAGCCAUCAGAGCAUCAUACACAUUACUUUCAGGUAUUGCCAGUACACCAACCUUAGAGAGGGUGGGUGUCUCAUUUGAAACACACCACUUUCUCUUUUCAAAGAUCUCUCUCCAAGACUUGUGAACUCUAUGCUUCUGUCCUCACCAAGGAACUGCAGAAAUACCCAACUGUGCAACCCCCUUUUCCUCUCCAUAUUCUUGGGAGAAUGAUGGACAAGAAAUUCCAAUAAAGCUGCUCUUGUGCUUAGGAAGUCAGGCUGUAGCUGUCCGGAUGUAUCUGUGAGACCAAAGUGCUAAAUGAAGAGUCACACUCCUGGGACUUCUGUUUCUCCCUGUUAACCUUUCAGCCUGGUAAACUUAUACUUGGAAGAGCCCUGCUUUUUCACUGGGAGACUGUGGUGUGCAGAAUGGAAACUUUUAAAUGUUAGAAUAGUCAUUCCACAGACUUUCACUGAGCUAUGAAUCGUUUCCCUAAGUCAAGAGGCUUCUCCCAAUUCUUCUCUCUCUCCCCCAGCACAACAGAACUAUUUGCUUCAGUAAAUCCCUUGACUGCAUUGUCUGUUGUGUGGCCCCUACUGCACCACACCCAAACUGUUCAAGAUCUUACAUGAGUAUUCUUCAUGCUGCUUACAACAGUUAGAGAAGUGAUACUUACGGAGAAAAUAUUAAAGCAACUGAGGCUUAUAGAGCACACUGAAGGAGCAUUGCCAGCGCUGUCCUGGACCCCCAGAUGGGAUGUCCUAGAAGCUGCAGCUGCUUUCCCAUCUUACCUUAACUCUCUGAACAAGGGUGGAGAGGAAGCAAGAAGAGAGAGACAUUUCCACAGCGAUUGCAACAUGUAGUGAUAGGCAAAUUCCCUCUCCCUGCCCUGUGACAAGCAUGGUGUAGGUCAUAAAGUGCUGCAAUCCUUAUCGGGGCUUUUCAGGCCGUUUUUAAAAAUAAUUUCAUCUUUGCUGUCACGUCUUCCUCCCUCGCUGAACAGGGACUGACUAAUUAGCAGUGGUUCAGUGGCAGAUGCUAUUGUGAAAAGGGUUUGAUGGUGAUCUAACUGGAAAUAAAAUUGUCUUAAAGGUCCAGGCAGACAUUUUCUAACUUCUCUGUGAUACAGGCUCUGUUGGCUGGUGCAUGAAACCAGCCCACACGGUCAUGAAGGAUGAACCCUUUUGCAUGCAAAUGGCUGGUCCUCUUCCAAGAUGAUACCUGUGGCCUGCUAGUUGCAUCCUGCACUAGUCCUCACUGGUGUAUUAAAAGCAACAAUGGUCUUGACUGAUCUACCUACUCACAUUUUCUACCAGGAGAAUAAAAUGCCAGAGUUGAUGGUAGUUAGUUACCUGUGUCACUCCUCUAAACACAGUUAGAAGCAAUGAACAUUGGUUGUUUUCUUCUCAGUCUGAAAUCACAUUAACAUUAGUCAUGUAAAAAGCUAUACUGUUUUGAAAUAAAUAUUUAUCAACAUA
Molecule: long non-coding RNA, 4745 nt
Organism: Corvus hawaiiensis (hawaiian crow)
Lineage: Eukaryota; Metazoa; Chordata; Aves; Passeriformes; Corvidae
Exons: 12
Source: RefSeq, a predicted model, not a curated record